RNAcentral lists this ribosomal RNA (418 nucleotides) under uncultured bacterium. RNAcentral describes it as "bacterial SSU rRNA". It matches the Rfam family "Bacterial small subunit ribosomal RNA", at positions 33 to 496 of the family's 1533-position model. The record is from RNAcentral.
UACGCUGGCGGCACGCCUAACACAUGCAAGUCGAACGCAGUAGCAAUACUGAGUGGCAAACGGGUGAGUAUAAUGUGGGAAUCUGCCUUUUGGUUUGGAAUAACACGGGGAAACUUGUGCUAAUACCGAAUAAGCCCUUACGGGGAAAGUUUUAACGCCGAAAGAUGAGCCCGCACUUGAUUAGCUAGUUGGUAGGGUAAAAGCUUACCAAGGCAACGAUCAAUAGCUGUUCUUAGAGGAAGACCAGCCACAUUGGGACUGAGACACGGCCCAGACUCCUACGGGAGGCAGCAGUGGGGAAUCUUGCACAAUGGGGGAAACCCUGAUGCAGCGAUGCCGCGUGAGUGAAGAAGGCCUUUGGGUUGUAAAACUCUUUCGUCGGGGAAGAAAAUGACUGUACCCGAAUAAGAAGGUCCGG